GCUAAACGCGAAGAACCUUACCUGGUCUUGACAUAGUAAGAACUUUCCAGAGAUGGAUUGGUGCCUUCGGGAACUUACAUACAGGUGCUGCAUGGCUGUCGUCAGCUCGUGUCGUGAGAUGUUGGGUUAAGUCCCGACAACGAGCGCAACCCUUUCCUUAUUGCCAGCGGGUUAAGCCGGGAACUUUAAGGAUACUGCCAGUGACAAACUGGAGGAAGGCGGGGACGACGUCAAGUCAUCAUGGCCCUUACGACCAGAGCUACACACGUGCUACAAUGGUCGGUACAAAGGGUUGCUACCUCGCGAGAGGAUGCUAAUCUCAAAAAGCCGAUCGUAGUCCGGAUUGGAGUCUGCAACUCGAC
This 362-nucleotide ribosomal RNA is filed under the name uncultured bacterium. RNAcentral describes it as "bacterial SSU rRNA". It matches the Rfam family "Bacterial small subunit ribosomal RNA", at positions 954 to 1316 of the family's 1533-position model. The record is from RNAcentral.